UACGUAGGUGACAAGCGUUGUCCGGAUUUACUGGGCGUAAAGAGCGCGCAGGCGGUCGAUCAAGUCGAGUGUGAAAGCCCCCGGCUCAACUGGGGAGGGUCAUUCGAUACUGAUCGACUCGAAGGCAGGAGAGGGUAGUGGAAUUCCCGGUGUAGUGGUGAAAUGCGUAGACAUCGGGAGGAACACCAGUGGCGAAGGCGACUACCUGGCCUGUUCUUGACGCUGAGGCGCGAAAGCUAGGGGAGCAAACGGG
RNAcentral lists this ribosomal RNA (253 nucleotides) under uncultured bacterium. RNAcentral's name for it is "partial 16S ribosomal RNA". It matches the Rfam family "Bacterial small subunit ribosomal RNA", at positions 524 to 776 of the family's 1533-position model. The record is from RNAcentral.